This 206-nucleotide ribosomal RNA is filed under the name uncultured bacterium. RNAcentral's name for it is "partial 16S ribosomal RNA". It matches the Rfam family "Bacterial small subunit ribosomal RNA", at positions 127 to 334 of the family's 1533-position model. The record is from RNAcentral.
UGCCCCGAAGACCGGGAUAACAGCGGGAAACCGCUGCUAAUACUGGAUGCCCCACCGGGCCGCAUGACCUGGUGAGGAAAUGGAUUCCGCUUCGGGAGGGCCUCGCGGCCUAUCAGCUUGUUGGUGGGGUAACGGCCUACCAAGGCAGCGACGGGUAGCUGGUCUGAGAGGACGAUCAGCCACACUGGGACUGAGACACGGCCCAG